AUUGAACGCUGGCGGCAUGCUUUACACAUGCAAGUCGAACGGCAGCACGGGGGCAACCCUGGUGGCGAGUGGCGAACGGGUGAGUAAUGCAUCGGAACAUACCCAGUCGUGGGGGAUAACGUAGCGAAAGUUGCGCUAAUACCGCAUACGUCCUGAGGGAGAAAGCGGGGGAUCGCAAGACCUUGCGCGAAUGGAACGGCCGAUGUCAGAUUAGCUAGUUGGUGGGGUAAAGGCCUACCAAGGCGACGAUCUGUAGCGGGUCUGAGAGGAUGAUCCGCCACACUGGGACUGAGACACGGCCCAGACUCCUACGGGAGGCAGCAGUGGGGAAUUUUGGACAAUGGGCGGAAGCCUGAUCCAGCCAUGCCGCGUGAGUGAAGAAGGCCUCGG
Molecule: ribosomal RNA, 390 nt
Filed under: uncultured bacterium
Lineage: Bacteria
Description: bacterial SSU rRNA
Rfam family: Bacterial small subunit ribosomal RNA
Source: RNAcentral